CGGUGUGCAGCUUUACGACGGUCUGAAACCCGCCAAACUACAGGAAGCAGAAGAAGGCGGCGUCACCGCAGCUUCCGGCGUCACUAUGGCGGCUCACGCGAGUGAACUGGAGAUAGCCAAGAAGAACUUGACCGAUGCGAUAGGAGACAAUAUCAAACAUUACUGGGCCAAUCUCAAACUCUGGUUCAAGCAGAAGAUCAGCAAGGAGGAGUUCGACCUGGAGGCGCGGCGUCUGCUGGCGCAGGAGAACGUCCAUGUUCACAAUGACUUUCUGCUGGCCAUCCUCACCCGCUGCCAGAUCAUCGUGUCCACGUCAGAGGGCACCAGCUCGCUGCAGUGGACCGGCGGAUCCGCAUCCAAACCAGGCAAACCCAGCCGAGGCAAAAAGAAGUUUCCCUCCGUUCGGCAGAAAUUCGAUCACCGCUUCCAGCCGCAGAACCCCCUGCAGGCGGCGCAGGCCUUCAGUCCUCGAGAAGCGGCGCUGGAGGACGACGAGCUGAGACUGAGCGCUCAGACGCUGCUGCUGCCCAGCCGAGGACAGAUGGAGGCGCGCAUGAUGGUCACCGCCUUCGAGAUGGGCCUGGACAACGUGAGCGAGGACGCCGUCAGCACCGUGUUCUGCGCGCUGGAGGUGCAUCUGAAGGAGAUCCUCACAGCUCUGGUGUCGCGGAGGAAAGCCUACCGUCUGCGGGACGGUCACUUCCAGUAUGCGUUCGGCAGUGACGUGACGCCGCGGCCGUACCUGAAGAACAGUCUGCCGGUGUACCACAGCGUCACUCAGUGUCCUCCUGCGAGCGCGUCUCUCCCCGCCGGACCUCCUCCUCAGGUUCUGCCGGACGAUGCGGAGCAGCAAGCUGCGCUCCUGCUGGCGUGUUCGGCUGACCGUCUCCCUCCACCGCUGCGGCCGGUCAGCGUCUUCGACCUGCUGGAGGCGCUGCAGGUCCAGCGGCGGGUGAUGCCGUCUCACAGCAUGUACGCUCUGAACAUGGAGAGGAUCCUGGCCCGGCUCUGGCACCCGAGCCACGAGGAGCUGGAGCAGGACCACAUCCACCGCCAGCAUCUGGCCAGCAAAGAGGGGCUGCUGGUCAGCUGAGAGAUGAAGACCGGACACACCAUCAUCAUCAUCACACACGUGCUGCGCAUCAGCCAGACUAACACACACUCAGAUGCUUCUGGGCAUUACUUUCUUUACAAAUGCCGCCGUACACACUCUUCUGGACGCAUGAGAGCCGUAGAGGUCAGCAUCUGAGCUACAGGCAUUAUCCUCCGGGACGAGACUUAACAGAUCACUCGUGUUCCUUUAAUAAUCACUGUUCUUAGAGGAUCAGCAACAAGC
Molecule: RNA transcript, 1336 nt
Organism: Onychostoma macrolepis
Lineage: Eukaryota; Metazoa; Chordata; Actinopteri; Cypriniformes; Cyprinidae
Gene: tada1
Gene name: transcriptional adaptor 1
Exons: 9
Source: RefSeq, a predicted model, not a curated record